RNAcentral lists this long non-coding RNA (8282 nucleotides) under Physcomitrium patens. Its description in RNAcentral is "long non-coding RNA (PPAT_LNC005412)". Lineage: Eukaryota; Viridiplantae; Streptophyta; Bryopsida; Funariales; Funariaceae. The record is from RNAcentral.
UUUAUGCCCUUAACUUACCACAUCAAGAUUCACCUUAUUCUAGCUGAUAGAUCUCAGAUAUUACAAAACCCUAAACAACCCCAAUAUGCCAACUUCUGAUACCUCUUUACACUAAUGAUUAAAUAUCCUCUAUCCAUACCAUUAGAUUAACACAAUUUUUUUGCGUGCACUUGGCAUACUCAACCAUCUAGACACCUCUAAAAUUUCAACUAGUGAUGACUUUUUAAUUUCACAAAACAGUCAAGAGUACUAGCCUUUACUUUAUUACAAAAAUCUAAUUCACCAAUACAAACACUGACUUUGAGCAAUGAUUGCAAAGUCCUCCCAAAUCCUAUGAAAUUCAAUUCUAUACCUUUCGAAGAAGCUUGAAACUAGCUCUCCGAUCUCAAAAUCCCGAUCUCUCGAAUGUUUCUUUCUUUUCCUCUCUUUUCCUUUAACUCCAUGAGGCCUCCUAUUCUUCUGCCAUGGACUUCGAAUUGGAUUAGCAGACCGUGCUUCCAUGAAAUUCUCGCCUCUAAGAGGAUCUUUCUAUAGAAAGGACGUUUCUUCAAAAUGGCAUAGACAACGGAACAGCUUGAAUAGAAUCAAAGCCUCUGUAAUCGGAACCUCAUUGGGCUAUCCAACCAAAUCAAGUCUCAUACUGGAUAAGAGGCCCGUAACAAGAUCUGGAUUGGAUGUCCCCGUAAUUGGGUCAAAUUGGUCCUUCACAUCAAGCUCAUCUAAUUGUUGAAUUGGUCCUUUCUCCUUUUGUCGAUUUCUGGUAAGAAUGGCUUGGACACAUUCCACCCAAUUUAUCGAAGUAUCUUGAGGACCUUGAUUUAUCUCCUCAAUUUUUUCUUAGCUUUGGAUCUACUGAUCUCAAUUAUUGAAAUUAAACGGAAUAUUACAUUGCUGAUAAGUAUGCCCCGACUGCUUGCUACUCCCACACAUUGGUGCGUAAUUGUCACUAGCUCUAAGAUUAGAUCAUUCAUUAGCAUAAUGACCAAUGUGUCUACAACAAAAAGAAAAAAGUGGUCUUCUUGCACCCCCCAUCAUGCAUAUUAGAUGUCUCUACCAGUGUAUACCUACUAGGCUUGUUCCAUGUAGGGUUAGAAAAUGAUCCUGGUCGUCCCAUUGGUACGGAGGGUACUUGGUUCAAUGACACCAGUGAAGCAUACGUUGUUGUCACGUUGAGUGGUACAGCUUACAAUGGGGUGACAUUAACUAGCCUAUGAAUAUUGGCAUUGGAAUUGGCCAUUGUUUCUAACAUUCAAGAUGACUAAAUAUUAAUAAAUCUUUUUCAUUUAUAUUUUUACCAUGUAGCCAUAUUACAACACGACAUCCACCUCCUCUGAACUUUUGCAUCUUUUGGUAUGCAUCAAAUAACCAAGUUGUUGUUUGUUUUAUAAUAUGUUCUUCAAGUCUUAGUCUAAAUCCUCUUCAUUACUUUUACUAUCCAAGUCAAUUCCAUCUUCCUUUUGAUGAAUAUCUAUGUCUUCACGAAGGUCUUCUAUAUUUAUUUUUGUGUAUCUUUGUUUAAAUAUUUUUACUCACUUCCCUGCAAUUAGUAUUUUUAACCUUAUUCCAUCUAACUCCUAGAAUGAGUAAAUGCAUUAUUAUGAAUAGUUGUUAUCACAUACGGUCCAAACCAUCGCUUAGAAAACUUCCUUUAAGUAUUAUGUUGAUUGUCCAGGCUACUAUCAUAGACCAAAAUCCAAUCACCUUUUUCAAUUGCUUUAGGCCUCAAUCGAUGAUACUUAUCAAACCAUGCCUUGUUUUAUAACCUCGCUCUUUUUAACCUUUCUAAUGCUAUUUGAACAUCUUCCAAUCUUUGUUCUAAUUGUUGAAUUCUAAUAGCUAAAAGUUCUUCUCUUGUCAAUCUGUCUUCCUAUGGUAGCACACUCCAAGAAGGUAUUUUUUCUUCAAUUGGCAUAAUUGGUUUUUGACCUGUCAUAAGCUCAAUAGGCAUAUAUCCCGUUACUGAGCUAUGAGUUGUCCGAUCAAUCCAUAAUGCAAAUGACAAAAGUCAUGGCUAUUCUCUAAUCUUACUAUUACAUGUUUUAACUAUUGCUUUCACAAUCACUAGGUGACAUCGUUCACUUUUUGCAUUUCCUUCAGGAUUAUAAGCAGUAGUUAGUGAUAGUUUAAUUCCACAACUUUCAAAGAAUUUACAAGCUUCUUGUGCAUUUAAUUCUCCACAAUCUAUAGUGAUUUUUCCUAUACAUCCGUAGCAGCAAAUAAUAUCUUCAAACAAAAAUCUACAAAUUCCUUCUGUAGAUUUUAUUCUCAAUGUUCUUCCUUCUACUUGAUUUGAUAAAUCUUCACGAGUUAAGACCAAAUAUCUCAUUUUCCAUAACCCGAUUGGCAUAACAAUCAAAUCAACAAUCCAUUUAAAAUGAAUAGCUAGAGGAUAUGUAGGAUGAAGACCAUCUCGAUGUUAUAUAUUAAAAUACGCUUGACAAAUUUUACAUGACUCUAUAAAUAAGUACACAUCUUGAUACAUAUUUCUCUACCAAUAUCAUUCCUUAAGUUUAGCAAAAGUAGCCCAAAUUCCUAUAUAUCCUACCUAUAAACUAUCAUCAAACCACUUUAAUAAUUUUUGUUUCUCUUCCUUAUUGCCUAUCACUCUUUGUGGCAUUCCAAUUCUAUUCUUUGGUCUCUUGUAUAAGAAUCCUUCUUGAAGCAAAAAUCCAUAUGCUUUUUUUCUUAUUUGUUUAAAUUUAUAUGUAGACCAAUUUUCUUGCUUAUUGAAGGUAUUCAAAAAAUGACUAAUAUCCAAUAAUUCUCUUUCAUAAAAUUCUUCAAGAAAUAGCUUAUCUUCUUUAUUAAGAUUUGAUACUGAAUAGAAUUUUGAUCCAACAUCAUUAACGUCUUCAACCAUUUCGUCUUCUCUUUUAUAUCUUGCUCGAAAUAACAUGUCUGCUACUAAAUUGUCUUUUCCAGCAACAUGCUUAAAUUUUGGAUUUAAUGACUUAAUAUAAGCAAUCCAUCUUAACAUUACAAUAUCUGGUGUUGAAAAAUUAGUAAUCAUUCCAAGUAAUGGCAAGCAAUCUAUUUCAAUUACUAUUGCUGCACCAAUCAAAUAAUCCCUUUUAGCUUUCAUAGCCAAAACAACUCUCCAAAGUUCUCUUUUAAGUUGCGAAUAUGCACGUUGAAGAAUACUUAAAACUUUAGCUCCAAAUCGAACUGCAAAUCUAUUUCCACUUGAAUCAUCUUGAUCCACAUCUCAUCCAAUAGCAAUAGGAUUAGUAUCCACAGUAAGAAUUACUUGUCUAUUACAAUCAUAAUCAAUUUUUUUUUUAAAAUUGGAGGUGUCACCAAUAACACCUUUAGCUUCUACAUUGUUUUAGUAUGUUUUUUUUUUUUUUCAUUUAAAUCGAUAAUCUUUAUAUUAUAAUUCAUACAAUGGAUCGACUACAUGACUAUAAUGAGAAAACCAUAUACGAUAAAAUACACAAGCUCCUAAAAACCUGCGUACUUUUGUUAAAGAGUCACAUGAAUCUUUCAUCCUUCCAAUUGCAUCAACUUUCUUUGGACCUGGCUUUCUCCCAUAAAAUCCACCGAAAUACCCAAUAAUAAGAACUUCUUAUACUCCAAAUGUAGAUUUUGCUCCUGAAAGUGUAAGAUGAACCUCUUCAAGUUGAGUUAAAAUCUUUUCACAAUCUUGUAUAUGAUCAACAACAUAUUUGCGACCCCCUCUUUCAUCUAAAGUUUCAUCAUUUUCUCCUUCUUUACAUCUUUUGAUAGGAACAUCAUCUAAAAAAGGCAUAGUUUUUUCAGGAAUGAAGUCUCUUAGUAUCAUGUUCAUCCCAUUCAUCAUAUGUACAAGUGAGUUAGUAGCACCCAGAGGGAGAGUAUACAUUUUAAGUAAUCCAAGUGGCGUUCUCAUUGUUGUUAGAUCUCUACUCCCAUGUGCAAGUUUCAAUUGAUCAUAAUCCGAAUAAAAAUCACUCAUUGAAUAAAUUGCCCUUCCCACAAACACUUCUGUAAACUUGUCUACUAAAGGUCCUAUACCUGCAUUUCUUAUAGUUAUUGCAUUCUAUGGCUGCAUAUCUUGAAUAAAAUGUAACGAUCCAUUUUUCUUAGGCAUCGUAAACCAACGACUAGAAUUUGGAGCAAAAGAAGGCUACAAAAUUUUCAUUUGCAUCUUUUCUUUUAAUAAUUCUACCAAUUUAGGUAAAUGUGCCCUCAGCACGGAAAUUGGCCUUAAGUCUCAAGGCACAUGAGGUACUAUAAAGAUAACCAUAGGAGCAACAACAUAAGGAUCUACACAUCCUAUUUCACGAGAUCCAAAGGCAAAUGAUUUACCUCGUUUCGUAAGCAUUUUUUUAAAAUAUUCAAUUUCUGUUGGAAAUAAAGAACUAUCACAUCUAAUCUUCAAUUCUUCAAAAGUCUCUUUUGUAAGCUGAUGUCCAAUCUCUUUUAGAUCUCUUAAAAUCUCUUCUUUUGAUGCUUCUUCUAUUUAUUCUUUAGAAUCUUUUGGUAAAGGUCUGGCAACAGGUUUUACCUUUUUAUCUACUAUUUUAUAUUUUGUCUCUACAAUAACUUCUGGUGCUUGAAAAGAUUCAAGUAUAGAAUAAACCUCCUUCAAAUGAAUUUCCACAAUCUUAUCAUUAUCCCUUAAUCCAAUACAUGUAAUUAAUUCCAAAGAAUCCUCCAAUCCAUUUUCUUCAUAAACACCUAAAAUCUUCUCAUCAUCUUCCAAUGUCCCUAACUUGUGUAAUUUCCUUUCAAUACUAUAUAAUCUUUUUCUUUCUUUUCUUUUAAAAUCAUCAACUUUCUUAUACAUAAUAUUUCCAUUCUCAAAAAUACCAAUAAACUCGCAUCAAAGGUACCUUCAUCUCGGGAGAGUACUUCCUCUUUUAUACCUUCAUAAUCCCACUGUCGUAAUACGUGAAGUCUUGCUUGAGAAUGCUCCGAGCACCUGGUUGUGGAAGGAAGAAUGGAAAUUACAAUAACAAAAUCUUAAUUCUAAUAGAAUACUAACAAUGUUCUAAUUAAACCAUAAUAAUGCUAAGUAAGCUUAAUCAAAUUCAAAAAAACUUCAAAGAAAUUUCAAACAAAUAAUUAGAAUUCUUAAAGAAAUAUUAGAAGGAUGAAAAAUAUCACUCAAAUAUAUCUCAAUUCAAUCUUAAUUUAAUUCUAGUUAAAAUCCUAUUGAACUUCAUUAAAACUUUAGGACAAAAUUAAUUGAAUCUUAAAUCCUAAUAAAAUCCUAAAUCCUAAAUCAAACCCUAAACAAACCUUAAACCAAAUUCCAACCAAAUCCUAAACCAAAUCCUAACCAAAUCCUAAACCAAACCUUAAUCCAAAUCCUAAACCCUAAAUAAACCCUAACCAAAUCCUAAUCCAAAUCCUAAAUCCUAAAUCAAAUCUUAAUCUAAACCCUAAAUCCUAAACCAAAUCCUAAUCCAAAUUCUAAAUCCUAAAUCCUAAAUUAAACCCUAAUCCAAAUCCUAAUCAAACCUUAAACCAAAUCCUAAACCAAAUCCUAACCAAACCCUAACCAAACCCUAAACCAAACCCUAGUAAUUCCUAUAACAGAUUUAAACCUCAAUAACUAAUUAAUAAACCAUUGAUCUUAAUUCAAAUUUUUCACACUUCUUAAAAACUAAGUUCAAAAAAAGCACAAAAAAAUUGAAAAGGAUCGGAGUUACCAAAUUGACGAUAACCUCAAAAAUAAGCUCGGAUAUUGGCGGGCCUCCUUCUCCAAUCUUGAUGCCAAUCUUCCAGAGCCAAUAUCUCUCUUUUACAUUGUUCGAUUCAUCUCAAAAUUCUCAUACACAUAGAAAAAUAAGUCUAAUAUCCUCUCACAUUAGUUUCACUCCAAUCCAACUAGUAGAUUGCACGAAAUCAUAAAAAAUCCUACUAGACCUAAAAUUCUACUUUCUCAGACCUUGAUCCACUUAAUCCUCAAUAUUCCUCAAUUCAACCGUUAGAUUGAGCUCAAAUUUAUAAAUCAUAUUAAAUACAACUAUAACCAUAAACCCACAAAAUUCCACCUGUAGAUCUACUACAAAACUCUUGAAAACACCCAAAACAUAAACCCUAUUUUAUUUCAUAAAACCCAAAUCAUCCGAAACAAACCUUGACUUUGCAAAGCUAUUACAAGAGACUCAACAAGAUCUUUCCAACUUGUUACAGCUCGUAUUAUAGCUGCAGUCCUCAAUAACGCUUCCCGAGGCAUUUUUCCCUUGUAUAUUGUGGAAAUGGUAGAAGCCCAAAGUUCACUAGUUUCUAUACUUCUGCCAAAGUCAUCAUCUACUCUAACACCAUAACUUGCACUCUCUCGUGUUGCUAUUCUAUGUUCUAUUAAGUAAUCUUGAACCAAUGCUCUUAUACCUCCUUUACCAAAAUUGGUUUGAAGGAGAUCCUCUAUAUCCUUUAAUACAAUCUUUCCAUCUUUCUCAUAAAUAACUCCUUGCUGUAUCAUAUUAAUAAAUUCAUUGCAAUCCUUCCUAGUAUAUGAAGCAUCAUCAUACUAGAUACAUCUUUGUACAUACCCUUGUUUUGAAACAUUCUUCAAAUUAUUUGUAGAAGUAUUUUCUUCAAGUCUUGCCAAUUUGAUUUAAAGAUCUCGCAUUCCACGUAUAAUUUCUUCAAUCUCUAUAUCUCCUUUCUUCGAUAAAGAUGUUGAAGGUUGAACAGUAGGCAUUGUUGGUCGUGUUGUAUGUACUGGAAUUUUAGGCACUUAUACUGCUUUUGGAAUAUUACUCCUAUCCUUCUUCUUUUUUCUUUUUGCAAGCAAACCCACCACAUUUUCAAUAUUUUUCCACUUUGUUGUCAAUCCUUCAUCAUCUUCUUUGUCUUCAAGAAGCAACUCCAAUUUCCCUUGUAAUUCUCGAUCAGCAGCUUGAAGAAAUAAUUCAACCUUGUUCGGCUCUCAUGUCAAUUUUUCUACUUUCGAUAAUUGAGAAUAUUGCCUCUCAAAUUUCCUUAAUAGUUCUAUUACUUAUAAAUUCUUAUUAGGCUGCUCAAUCCAUUCUAAAAAUAGUUUCUUAGUAAUACGAUCAGUGUCCUCUGAGAAAUAUUUAUCUUUUAAUGCAUGUGAAAAUAUCUCCCAUGAAUUUUUCAUAAUGCUCCAUAAUUGAUGUAAAAUGCUCUCUUAUUUCUGGUAUCAUAGCAAGUCAAAAUAAUUCAACCAUCAUCUUGUCAAAAACCUGAUUUAAUUCUAUUUCUUGAACAUAACAUCUUAAAUACUUUGAAAUAUCCCUUCCAUCAAAUUGAUCAAUUUUAUUGACCAUUUCUUGCAAUGCUUUGGUUGCCAAAGCUUUUUUGUGAUCAUUGCUUUGCUGUUGUUGCAUAGAUAAUGAUAAGGCUUGAAAUAUACCACCAACGAACGAAUCCAUGUAUAUACUUUGUCCUUUAGAAGAAACCCCACCAGAAGCUACACUUGAAGCUCCUUCAAAAAAUUUUAUUUUCAUUCUCCAUAAAAUAAAAUAUGAAAAUAAAUAAAUCCCAAUACCUCCUACUUCAAGCAUUUCACAUUGAAUUCACCACUUAUGUCGUAUUAAGUGCUAUCUAGCUUGAGAAUGUACCGAGAGUCUAGUUGUGGAAGAUAAAACAAAGUUUUGCAAGUAUCCAAGUAGUCUACUGGGCUUCAACCAUCUAAAUACAAACUAUUCCGGAUUUCAAUGUAAAAGCUUAAUCCCAAUAUACAAUGCUUAGAAAUACUAUUUUGAAUAGCUUUUAGAUACUAUAAGCAUAAUUUAUUUUUUUGUUAUACAUUAUUUUUAUUUUACUUUAUAUUAUUUAUUUAUUUAUUUAUUUAUUUUAAUUUUUUUAUUUUUACUUAUUUAUUUAUUUAUUUAUAUUUUUUAAACCCUAAUCCUAGAUAGUGAGCUUCGACAAGCUGUAAUUUUCAAUCUGACCGUCCAAUUGUUGUAAGACUUCUACCAUUAGUGUCUUUACAAGUCUUCUAAAUGCUCAAGAAGUUCAAUUCAAUCCAACUUACAGAUUGCAAGAAAACACCAUAAAUCCACACUGAUGUCCCUUGACCAUUGUCUAGAAGUUAAUGACAAACUUUGACUGGCAAUUUUUCCUUCUCUAACCAUUAAUUCUCAUUCAAACCUUGUGUGCAGCUCUGCCUUUAUGCCCUUAACUUACCACAUCAAGAUUCACCUUAUUCUAGCUGAUAGAUCUCAGAUAUUACAAAACCCUAAACAACCCCAAUAUGCCAACUUCUGAUACCUCUUUACACUAAUGAUUAAAUAUCCUCUAUCCAUACCAUUAGAUUAACACAAUUUUUUUGCGUGCACUUGGCAUACUCAACCAUCUAGACACCUCUAAAAUUUCAACCAGUG